AUUGAACGCUGGCGGCAGGCCCAACACAUGCAAGUCGAGCGGAUGAAGGGAGCUUGCUCCUGGAUUCAGCGGCGGACGGGUGAGUAAUGCCUAGGAAUCUGCCUGGUAGUGGGGGAUAACGUCCGGAAACGGGCGCUAAUACCGCAUACGUCCUGAGGGAGAAAGUGGGGGAUCUUCGGACCUCACGCUAUCAGAUGAGCCUAGGCCGGAUUAGCUAGUUGGUGGGGUAAAGGCCUACCAAGGCGACGAUCCGUAACUGGUCUGAGAGGAUGAUCAGUCACACUGGAACUGAGACACGGUCCAGACUCCUACGGGAGGCAGCAGUGGGGAAUAUUGGACAAUGGGCGAAAGCCUGAUCCAGCCAUGCCGCGUGAGUGAAGAAGGUCUUCGGAUUGUAAAGCACUUUAAGUUGGGAGGAAGGGCAGUAAGUUAAUACCUUGCUGUUUUGACGUUACCAACAGAAUAAGCACCGGCUAACUUCGUG
Molecule: ribosomal RNA, 484 nt
Filed under: uncultured bacterium
Lineage: Bacteria
Description: partial 16S ribosomal RNA
Rfam family: Bacterial small subunit ribosomal RNA
Source: RNAcentral